This 497-nucleotide ribosomal RNA is filed under the name uncultured bacterium. Its description in RNAcentral is "partial 16S ribosomal RNA". It matches the Rfam family "Bacterial small subunit ribosomal RNA", at positions 28 to 507 of the family's 1533-position model. The record is from RNAcentral.
GAUGAACGCUGGCGGCGUGCCUAACACAUGCAAGUCGAGCGGACGAACGAGACUCUUUCCUCGCUUCUGUUACCGGCGGGCGGGUGAGUAACACGUGUAUAACCUACCUAUAAGACUGAGAUAACUUCACGAAACCGGAUCUCGCAUCGGACAAUAGUUUGAAACUCAUGGUUCAACAGAGAUAGACGUACCUGCUGAGCCUUAUACAUGUAUCCUCGCUGGAUUAGCUAGUUGGUAAGGUAACGGCUUACCAAGGCAACGAUGCAUAGCCGACCUGAGAGGGUGAUCAGCCACACUGGAACUGAGACACGGUCCAGACUCCUACGGGAGGCAGCAGUAGGGAAUCUUCGACAAUGGGCGAAAGCCUGACGCAGCAACGCCGCGUGAGUGAUGAAGGUCUUCGGAUCGUAAAGCUCUGUUAGUAGGGAGGAAGAGAUGUGUGAGUAACUGUGCACAUCUUGACGGUACCUACAGAGAAAGCCACGGCUAACUACGUG